RNAcentral lists this long non-coding RNA (1667 nucleotides) under Mytilus galloprovincialis (Mediterranean mussel). Lineage: Eukaryota; Metazoa; Mollusca; Bivalvia; Mytilida; Mytilidae. The record is from RNAcentral.
AACUAUAUCUAUCUUAUUAUAUCUUAUAGGUAGUCCGACCCGCAUCAGGUUACUAUUUUUAUUUUGGGUAAGUUUCAAGGACAUUAUGGUCACGUUAACUGGAAACUAAUUUAAUUGUGUUCAUCAUGAGUUAACAUUUAAAAUAUAAUGGAUUUUUAACUUGGUUUUUACGUUGCACUGAAUGAGGAAAUAUAUAGAGUUACUGUUUUUAUCGUUGUUUGUUAAACUCUCUUGCUGCCGGAGGGACAUAUUAUGUGUCCACACCGACUAUGCCGGAGUGACAAAUAUGUCCAUGUUUUAAUUCAUGCAAGCUUCUCAUUGUGUCUUUUUAAAUAAAAAACCAAAGAUUUAACAGUGUUAUAUUUUUUAGUCAAUGGGUCCAAAAUGUAACGAUCAUUAAAACGUGACGUCAUAUAUCGGACAACGACGUCGCUGUUGGAAAUCUACCGCCAUUGACGUCGAGCUGUCAUAUUUUCUGCCACACGAAAUGCAACCUUGAAAAACAACUUGCAGUAAGAGGAAUAACGUCCAGUAGGGAAUAUUAUUGAUUGAUUUGUGUUUAACGCCUCUCCAACAUUGUUGUGCUAUUUCGUGGCGAUCAGUUUUUAUUUGUGGAGGAAACCGCAGUGCGGGGAUAUUAAGAAACGCAUAUGUUCAUAUAUAAUAUCAACACGUACAGUUUAGUUUCGUUCCAUAUUGUGUUAUAGUAUACCAUAAAACUAAUGCAUUCGUGUCAUUUUUUAAAAUAUUCAGAUAGAAUAAACUGCAUGGCUUAUCAUUUAAACUACUUAUCACAGGUUCAAAAUAAAAUUUCGGCAUAAACAUUUUUAGCUUUAGGAGCAAAGAUAAAAAUCCACUCCCAUAAACAUCCUCUAGCCAUAAAUAAGGUACAUUCUUUGAAGCUCUGUACAUUUUUCUUGCAACGUCAAUUGACAUUAUAGAACUGUGUCCAGCACAAUAUGGUAGAAACUUUGUGAAUGGAUAUUCCUCCAGUGUUAUAAACCAUUUUUUGUUACUUUCACGAACCGGAAUAUUUUUCGUUAUCGUUUGACAUUCAAGAACAUUGACCGAUUUUCCUGUCUUUAGCUUCUCUGUCAGGUAGAGUAUUACUAGUGGAAUAUUGAUAAUAAUAUCAUCGUCCAUCUUGAUGACGAAUUUCGCAUUUUUGCAGAAAUUAUUCAACCAAAACAAGCUAAAUACCAGUUUGUAUGUUAAAUUCCUGUAUGAAUCGAUGUAGUUUCCUUGAAUUAUGUCCAUGUAUAUCUUACUUUCGUUUUCAAGAUCUUUUUGAAGGGUUGCGUUUUCGGUUUUGCCGAGCACAAAUACAUAUUCAAUGCGUUUAUUGUGAAAUUUUAGAAUUGAUCCAAACGUGGAUCUUAUCAGAAUGCGCCCAGCAAAAUUGCCCGGUGCCAUAUGUACAAAUACUAAAAGAAAAAGAUUUUUCCCUUUGCAUUUCACAACAUUGUUUAGUAAUAGUUCGUAGCGAUGUUGAUGGAUAAAAGGAUCCAUAAGUUCAUAAUCAGAAGCAUUUAUAUAAAAGCUCUCAAACUCCGUAGAGAUAUUUCUGCCAUGAAAUAAAAGUAUUUUGUUUCUAGCGUUUUGUACCUUUUCAUUUAUGCUGUUGUACACUGUUUCAUAGUAUGUUGAAAAAGAAAUUAUCACUGUCU